CUUGGGGGGUGUUUGUGGCUCUGCCCGAACCUUUGAGAAACGCUGGUGCUUGGGGGCUUUGUGCUACAGAAUCGUGCUCAUCAUCAGCGCGGUUUGAUGUCUGAGGAGCUCCCUGAGGCGGUCACGAAAAAUAACUGUGCUAAAGUUAAUGUGGAACUGAAAGUGGGGAUUUGUUAGUGGCAUAACCUUCCAGAGCUGUGUAGAAUGCGGUUUUCCCAGCGAUGACUGUUGGCCGUUAAUUUUCUCUCUUUAAACAAAAACGCGGCUGCUCGGCUUUGUCCAGGAAUUAAAUCUGAGGAACAACUUCUUUACAUUGAGGGUGACAGAACUCUGAAACAGGCUGCCCAGGAAGGUCGUGGAGUCUCUCUCUCUGGAGACAUUACAAACCCACCUGGAUGCGUUCUCGUAUCACCGGCUCUAGAUGACCUUGUCUUGGCAGGGACAUUGGACUAGAUGAUCUCUAGAAGCCCCUUCAAACCCUAACAAUUCUGUGAUACUGUGAUCUCUUUGUCUGGCAACAUGGUUUGUGCUAGAGGAUUAAAAAGGCCUUAAGAAUCUUUUUAUUUUUGACUUGAUGAAGUAGUUAUAUUCCUGUAGUCUUUUUUCUUUUUCUUUUGAGAAAACCAUUUUUGUUGUUGUUUUAUAAAAAUAGGUCUGUUUUUUUUUCUCUCCUUGCUGCAGUAAUGACAAUGUAUAUGAGUGACUUACCUGAUGCUCUUAAAAGAUGAACGACGUGGAGAAAUAAUGGUUUUGUGGUGAUAUCGUGUUGGGAGUGAGAAAAGGUUUCCUACCUUGACCUUUUGUGCAAUGAGAUGCGGAGCAGACAAAGCACGGGAGGACGCUCUCCCGGGGGCAAUUCCAGGCGGCGGAAGCACGGACACCGCCAGUGACUGGCUGCCACACGUCCCUCCGUGCGAGGGAAUUCCCCGGGCCCUCCUCGUGUGCCUCGAGCAAUGACUCCCGGCGGGAGCGACGCCAGAAAUCCGCGCUGCAUUGUGCCUGCGGGGCGGCUCACGACUCCAGUCAGAAUAAUUAAUCCUAU
Manacus vitellinus (golden-collared manakin) is the source of this 1042-nucleotide long non-coding RNA. RefSeq lists it as uncharacterized. The record is from RefSeq and is a predicted model, not a curated record. Lineage: Eukaryota; Metazoa; Chordata; Aves; Passeriformes; Pipridae. The transcript has 4 exons.